RNAcentral lists this long non-coding RNA (859 nucleotides) under Androctonus crassicauda. Lineage: Eukaryota; Metazoa; Arthropoda; Arachnida; Scorpiones; Buthidae. The record is from RNAcentral.
AGUAGACGUAAUUUUUUGCGGCAGUUCUACGGUUAAGAGCAAGUUGUUUAUAUACAUGUUUUGGAUUAGUAUGCUGAGCCGGCAAUGGAUACAUAUGAUAAAAGACAGUUUCUGGAGAUAAAUAGAUGGUUUGUUAGAGCAGAGGAGCUAGUACAGUUUUUUUUAAAGAAUGUAAGAUUAAUGACGUUUUUCCGAUGUCUAUAUACCGGAUUUGUUUACCGAUUAGAUUGAAGGUAAUUGAAAGACAAGUUAAGUAUAGAUGCUUAAGUUAUGCCCUCACUGAUGCUAGAAGGAACUUUUAUGCUGUGAAGAGGAAAGCAUGCCACAUUGAGUGUUUCCUGCUGGUGAAGUAUGGACAAGCUAUCCAGCAGACUCUCCAUGAUAUCCUGAUACUCUUACUGGCUUUCAGACAAAAGAUAAGAACCAGAUAUAUAAAAAAGUUUAAAUAGAUUUUGCUAAACCAACACAUCCAUGGAUAUGCUCCGAAAUUGAUUAUAGAUGAUGUCAUGGUGAUAGUCAGAGAUGUUAAUAUCCAGAGACUGGUAGAAGAUCUUAUUCUCAGAGGACCUACAGCAGUUCCCAAAAGUAUACCACAAUUGUGCACUAUGACUCCUCAUGUGGAUCAAUUGAUGGCAGAGUAUGAAGAAGUAUAUAUGGAGAAGGUAUGAUGGGAACUUAUUCUAAACAAGGGCAUUUGUCCUAAAAUAAAAAAGUCAAUUAAGAAACAAUGUGUUGAUGAUCUAUACGAAGAAUUGGAUAAAAGACCAAUCCAUCGUCUGUACCAGAGAUGAUAAGUCUAAGAAGAUGGCAUUUAUAAAGAGGGAACAUUAUGUGGACCUCUUACUUGAACUUCAUAGCU